Molecule: ribosomal RNA, 484 nt
Filed under: uncultured bacterium
Lineage: Bacteria
Description: partial 16S ribosomal RNA
Rfam family: Bacterial small subunit ribosomal RNA
Source: RNAcentral
AUUGAACGCUGGCGGCAGGCCUAACACAUGCAAGUCGAGCGGAUGAAGGGAGCUUGCUCCUGGAUUCAGCGGCGGACGGGUGAGUAAUGCCUAGGAAUCUGCCUGGUAGUGGGGGAUAACGUCCGGAAACGGGCGCUAAUACCGCAUACGUCCUGAGGGAGAAAGUGGGGGAUCUUCGGACCUCACGCUAUCAGAUGAGCCUAGGUCGGAUUAGCUAGUUGGUGGGGUAAAGGCCUACCAAGGCGACGAUCCGUAACUGGUCUGAGAGGAUGAUCAGUCACACUGGAACUGAGACACGGUCCAGACUCCUACGGGAGGCAGCAGUGGGGAAUAUUGGACAAUGGGCGAAAGCCUGAUACAGCCAUGCCGCGUGUGUGAAGAAGGUCUUCGGAUUGUAAAGCACUUUAAGUUGGGAGGAAGGGCAGUAAGUUAAGACCUUGCUGUUUUGACGUUACCAACAGAAUAAGCACCGGCUAACUUCGUG